Molecule: ribosomal RNA, 253 nt
Filed under: uncultured bacterium
Lineage: Bacteria
Description: partial 16S ribosomal RNA
Rfam family: Bacterial small subunit ribosomal RNA
Source: RNAcentral
UACGUAGGGUGCGAGCGUUAAUCGGAAUUACUGGGCGUAAAGCCUGCGCAGGCGGUUCGUUGUGUCGGCGGUGAAAGCCCCGGGCUCAACCUGGGAAUUGCCGUUGAAACUGGCGAACUGGAGUGUGGCAGAGGGGGGUGGAAUUCCGCGUGUAGCAGUGAAAUGCGUAGAUAUCAGGAGGAAUACCGAUGGCGAAGGCAGGUCUCUGGGCUGACACUGACGCUCAUGCACGAAAGCGUGGGGAGCAAACAGG